GAGGAAUACGGGUAUCCUGUCUAAAUCUUUUACCAAGUUUUUUUAUAAAAAACAUUGCCAAAUGAUUAUGUUUUAAAAAGAAACGAUUAUGGGACGGAGAUUUUAUGACAGAUAGAAGACGGGACGGGACGGGGCGGGGUGGGACGGGACGGGUCAGGACGAGACGGAAAGGGACAUGACGGGUUUUCCAUUAUAAACUACACAUAAAACAAUUCAAAC
Molecule: long non-coding RNA, 219 nt
Filed under: Capsella rubella
Lineage: Eukaryota; Viridiplantae; Streptophyta; Magnoliopsida; Brassicales; Brassicaceae
Description: long non-coding RNA (CRUB_LNC001718)
Source: RNAcentral